AGGGUUUGAUCCUGGCUCAGAAUCAACGCUGGCGGCGUGCCUAACACAUGCAAGUCGAACGCGAAAGGGGAGCAAUCCCUGAGUAGAGUGGCAAACGGGUGAGUAACACGUGGGUGACCUGCCUCAGAGUGGGGGAUAACGUCCCGAAAGGGACGCUAAUACCGCAUAACAUCCUGCCUUUGGAAAGGCGGAGAUCAAAGCCGGGGAUCGCAAGACCUGGCGCUUGGAGAGGGGCCCGCGUCUGAUUAGCUAGUUGGUAGGGUAAUGGCCUACCAAGGCAACGAUCAGUAUCCGGCCUGAGAGGGCGGACGGACACACUGGGACUGAGACACGGCCCAGACUCCUACGGGAGGCAGCAGUGGGGAAUUGUUCGCAAUGGGCGCAAGCCUGACGACGCAACGCCGCGUGGAGGAUGAAGAUCUUCGGGUCGUAAACUCCUGUCGAGCGGGACGAACACCUAUCCGGCUAACAUCCGGGCAGGCUGACGGUACCGCUAAAGGAAGCCCCGGCUAACUCCGUGCCAGCAGCCGCGGUAAUACGGGGGGGGCAAGCGUUGUUCGGAAUUACUGGGCGUAAAGGGCUCGUAGGCGGCCAACUAAGUCAGACGUGAAAUCCCCAGGCUCAACCUGGGAACUGCGUCUGAUACUGGAUGGCUUGAAUCCGGGAGAGGGAUGCAGAAUUCCAGGUGUAGCGGUGAAAUGCGUAGAUAUCUGGAGGAAUACCGGUGGCGAAGGCGGCAUCCUGGACCGGCAUUGACGCUGAGGAGCGAAAGCCAGGGGAGCAACCGGGAUUAGAUACCCCGGUAGUCCUGGCCCUAAACGAUGAAUGCUUGGUGUAACGGGUAUCGAUCCCUGUUGUGCCGAAGCUAACGCAUUAAGCAU
Molecule: ribosomal RNA, 881 nt
Filed under: uncultured Acidobacteriota bacterium
Lineage: Bacteria; Pseudomonadati; Acidobacteriota
Description: bacterial SSU rRNA
Rfam family: Bacterial small subunit ribosomal RNA
Source: RNAcentral